This 254-nucleotide ribosomal RNA is filed under the name uncultured bacterium. RNAcentral's name for it is "partial 16S ribosomal RNA". It matches the Rfam family "Bacterial small subunit ribosomal RNA", at positions 524 to 776 of the family's 1533-position model. The record is from RNAcentral.
UACAGGGGGGGCAAGCGUUGUUCGGAAUUACUGGGCGUAAAGGGCUCGUAGGCGGCCAACUAAGUCACACGUGAAAUCCCCAGGCUUAACCUGGGAACUGCGUGUGAUACUGGAUGGCUUGAAUCCGGGAGAGGGAUGCAGAAUUCCAGGUGUAGCGGUGAAAUGCGUAGAUAUCGGGAGGAGCACCGGUGGCGAAGGCGGUUCUCUGGGCCUGUACUGACGCUGGAGGAGCGAAAGCGUGGGGAGCGAACAGG